RNAcentral lists this ribosomal RNA (548 nucleotides) under uncultured bacterium. Its description in RNAcentral is "bacterial SSU rRNA". It matches the Rfam family "Bacterial small subunit ribosomal RNA", at positions 337 to 903 of the family's 1533-position model. The record is from RNAcentral.
UCCUACGGGAGGCAGCAGUGGGGAAUCUUAGACAAUGGGGGCAACCCUGAUCUAGCCAUGCCGCGUGAGUGAUGAAGGCCUUAGGGUCGUAAAGCUCUUUCGCCUGUGAUGAUAAUGACAGUAGCAGGUAAAGAAACCCCGGCUAACUCCGUGCCAGCAGCCGCGGUAAUACGGAGGGGGUUAGCGUUGUUCGGAAUUACUGGGCGUAAAGCGCGCGUAGGCGGAUUAGAAAGUUGGGGGUGAAAUCCCGGGGCUCAACCCCGGAACUGCCUCCAAAACUGCUAGUCUAGAGUUCGAGAGAGGUGAGUGGAAUUCCGAGUGUAGAGGUGAAAUUCGUAGAUAUUCGGAGGAACACCAGUGGCGAAGGCGGCUCACUGGCUCGAUACUGACGCUGAGGUGCGAAAGUGUGGGGAGCAAACAGGAUUAGAUACCCUGGUAGUCCACACCGUAAACGAUGAAUGCCAGUCGUCGGAUAGUAUACUAUUCGGUGACACACCUAACGGAUUAAGCAUUCCGCCUGGGGAGUACGGUCGCAAGAUUAAAACUCA